This is a long non-coding RNA of Myotis davidii, 1012 nucleotides long. RefSeq lists it as uncharacterized. NCBI's taxonomy places the organism in Eukaryota, Metazoa, Chordata, Mammalia, Chiroptera, Vespertilionidae. The record is from RefSeq and is a predicted model, not a curated record. The transcript has 4 exons.
GGGACGCAGAGUGGGCGGGGUUUAAUGGGACGGAAAUUGCGUCGCUGGACGGCGCCUGGCGCCGAGUGCAGAUCUCUAUCUUAUGAUCAAAGGAAGACAUGUCAACAUGCUUGACUACCUGUGGAACAGCAUGCUGGACCUGGGAUCCGUAGUUCUAGUGAGGAUUCUGCCUCUUGCUAGCUGUGAGAAUGGCCCAUAUUAGUCCUCUAAUGGUCUUCGUGCCAUGGGAGCCUGUCAGUGUGGCUGAGCUCCGGGGAACCCACCAGUGCUGGCAGUCAGUGGACAGGCCUUCCUGAGGUACGCACCUGCUCAGAGCCCUGUCCCAUCUCACCAUUCAGCCUCCAGAGCUCCACCCAAAUGUCACUUCCUGCAGAAAACCCUUCCUGGCUGCCCAGACCAGGCUGGAUCCAGUCACGUGCUCUGAACACCCUGCACUUCGGCUUCACAGCGACGAUCUGAUUGUCUUGCAAUAGUUACCUAUGGAGUGAACUAGUACUGAUGUCUGCCUUCCUCUCGACCUCCACCUCCUCCCAGACAUGAGCUCAGGGAGGGCAGGAACUCUAUCUUGCUCAUAGUCGGAUCUCCAGCUCCUGGCACAAUCUGAAUGCUCAUUACAUAUUGAUGAGUGAGGAAGUGAAUGAAAGGAUGGUUAGGAUGUCGUCAGACUGAGAUGGCAGGGAGGAGAAAUUUAGGAGGAAGACAGCCCAAAGGGCCCAAAAUAUUAGAGCAUGGAGCUUAUGACAGUACCAGGCGAAGUCGAGUUCAUUCAUAAAUUCCAGCCUUCGUGAAUGAGCUGGACGGCCGUAAGGUGCCUCAUUCUUUCCCUCACCACUGUGUCCCAAGUGCCCACCAUGAAUGAGUAGGCAGAAGAGGUUUCCCAGCUUCUGUGGGUCCUUUUACUUGUCCCCAGAAAGUCCCCUUUGCACUCCCUCCGUAGCUUUUCUCACCUUCCCCAUGCUGUUUAAACUCCUCACUCCACUUCCUCCUGAAAUAAAGGUCAUUCGCUAAGGUC